Molecule: ribosomal RNA, 715 nt
Filed under: uncultured bacterium
Lineage: Bacteria
Description: bacterial SSU rRNA
Rfam family: Bacterial small subunit ribosomal RNA
Source: RNAcentral
UGCUGCUUCGCUGACGAGUGGCGGAUGGGUGAGUAAUGUCUGGGAAACUGCCUGAUGGAGGGGGAUAACUACUGGAAACGGUGGCUAAUACCGCAUAACGUCGCAAGACCAAAGAGGGGGACCUUCGGGCCUCUUGCCAUCAGAUGUGCCCAGAUGGGAUUAGCUUGUUGGUGAGGUAACGGCUCACCAAGGCGACGAUCCCUAGCUGGUCUGAGAGGAUGACCAGCCACACUGGAACUGAGACACGGUCCAGACUCCUACGGGAGGCAGCAGUGGGGAAUAUUGCACAAUGGGCGCAAGCCUGAUGCAGCCAUGCCGCGUGUAUGAAGAAGGCCUUCGGGUUGUAAAGUACUUUCAGCGGGGAGGAAGGUGUUGUGGUUAAUAACCGCAGCAAUUGACGUUACCCGCAGAAGAAGCACCGGCUAACUCCGUGCCAGCAGCCGCGGUAAUACGGAGGGUGCAAGCGUUAAUCGGAAUUACUGGGCGUAAAGCGCACGCAGGCGGUCUGUCAAGUCGGAUGUGAAAUCCCCGGGCUCAACCUGGGAACUGCAUUCGAAACUGGCAGGCUUGAGUCUUGUAGAGGGGGGUAGAAUUCCAGGUGUAGCGGUGAAAUGCGUAGAGAUCUGGAGGAAUACCGGUGGCGAAGGCGGCCCCCUGGACAAAGACUGACGCUCAGGUGCGAAAGCGUGGGGAGCAAACAGGAUUAGAUACCCUG